GGGAGCAGGUUAGGUCAGCAAUGACCGACCGGCCGGACACCGAUCCAAUAGCGGCUUGAGCCAAGCUCGCCGUUUCGGUGUACCGCUCUAGGAUAUUUCGACCGGUCUCGUAAGGCGUAGGGUUUAUCUCCAGCUAUCGCUGUCGAGUAGCUACUAUUCAGUUUUCAGGGCCUUUCCGGCUCUGGAGCGUGCACCCGCGAGAGCGAAGGUGUCUGAUCUUUGAAAACUGCAUAGCGCGAUCCAAUGUA
This 248-nucleotide unclassified non-coding RNA is filed under the name uncultured Rubrobacteria bacterium. Its description in RNAcentral is "16S-23S ribosomal RNA intergenic spacer". Lineage: Bacteria; Bacillati; Actinomycetota; Rubrobacteria. The record is from RNAcentral.